This 497-nucleotide ribosomal RNA is filed under the name uncultured bacterium. RNAcentral's name for it is "partial 16S ribosomal RNA". It matches the Rfam family "Bacterial small subunit ribosomal RNA", at positions 28 to 507 of the family's 1533-position model. The record is from RNAcentral.
GAUGAACGCUGGCGGCGUGCCUAAUACAUGCAAGUCGAGCGAACAGAUGAGGAGCUUGCUCCUCUGACGUUAGCGGCGGACGGGUGAGUAACACGUGGAUAACCUACCUAUAAGACUGGGAUAACUUCGGGAAACCGGAGCUAAUACCGGAUAAUAUAUUGAACCGCAUGGUUCAAUAGUGAAAGACGGUUUUGCUGUCACUUAUAGAUGGAUCCGCGCCGCAUUAGCUAGUUGGUAAGGUAACGGCUUACCAAGGCAACGAUGCGUAGCCGACCUGAGAGGGUGAUCGGCCACACUGGAACUGAGACACGGUCCAGACUCCUACGGGAGGCAGCAGUAGGGAAUCUUCCGCAAAGGGCGAAAGCCUGACGGAGCAACGCCGCGUGAGUGAUGAAGGUCUUCGGAUCGUAAAACUCUGUUAUUAGGGAAGAACAAAUGUGUAAGUAACUAUGCACGUCUUGACGGCACCUAAUCAGAAAGCCACGGCUAACUACGUG